AUUGAACGCUGGCGGCAUGCCUAACACAUGCAAGUCGAGCGAGCGGCGGACGGGUGAGUAAUGUCUGGGAAACUGCCUGAUGGAGGGGGAUAACUGCUGGAAACGGUAGCUAAUACCGCAUACCAUCAGAUGUGCCCAGAUGGGAUGAGCUAGUAGGUGGGGUAACGGCUAACCUAGGCGACGAUCCCUAGCUGGUCUGAGGGGAUGAUCAGCCACAGUGGAACUGAGAGACGGCCCAGACUCCUAAGGGAGGCAGCAGCGGGGGAGAUUGCACAAUGGGCGCAAGCCUGAUGCAGACAUGCCGCGUGUGUGAAGAAGGCUUUCGGGUUGUAAAGCAAUUUCAGCGGGGAGGCGUUACCCGCAGAAGAAGCACCGGCUAACUCCGUGCCAGCAGCCGCGGUAAUAC
RNAcentral lists this ribosomal RNA (406 nucleotides) under uncultured bacterium. RNAcentral's name for it is "partial 16S ribosomal RNA". It matches the Rfam family "Bacterial small subunit ribosomal RNA", at positions 29 to 526 of the family's 1533-position model. The record is from RNAcentral.